AGGAUGAACGCUGGCGGCGUGCCUAAUACAUGCAAGUCGAGCGGUAAGGCCCCUUCGGGGGUACACGAGCGGCGGACGGCUGAGUAACGCGUGGGAACGUACCCCAAAGUGAGGGAUAAGCACCAGAAAUGGUGUCUAAUACCGCAUGUGCUCUAAGGAGUAAAGCUUCGGCGCUUUGGGAACGGCCUGCGUCCGAUUAGCUUGUUGGUGAGGUAAUGGCUUACCAAGGCGAUGAUCGGUAGCUGGUCUGAGAGGAUGAUCAGCCAGACUGGGACUGAGAACGGCCCAGACUCCUACGGGAGGCAGCAGUAGGGAAUUUUCCACAAUGGGCGAAAGCCUGAUGGAGCAACGCCGCGUGCAGGAUGAAAUCCCUUGGGAUGUAAACUCCUUUCGAUCGGGAAGAUAAUGACGGUACCGGAAGAAGAAGCCCCGGCUAACUUCGUGCCAGCAGCCGC
This 455-nucleotide ribosomal RNA is filed under the name uncultured bacterium. Its description in RNAcentral is "SSU rRNA". It matches the Rfam family "Bacterial small subunit ribosomal RNA", at positions 26 to 518 of the family's 1533-position model. The record is from RNAcentral.